GACGAACGCUGGCGGCGUGCCUAAUACAUGCGAGUUGAGCGAUGAAGAUUGGUGCUUGCACCAAUUUGAAGAGCAGCGAACGGGUGAGUAACGCGUGGGGAAUCUGCCUUUGAGCGGGGGACAACAUUUGGAAACGAAUGCUAAUACCGCAUAACAACUUUAAACAUAAGUUUUAAGUUUGAAAGAUGCAAUUGCAUCACUCAAAGAUGAUCCCGCGUUGUAUUAGCUAGUUGGUGAGGUAAAGGCUCACCAAGGCGAUGAUACAUAGCCGACCUGAGAGGGUGAUCGGCCACAUUGGGACUGAGACACGGCCCAAACUCCUACGGGAGGCAGCAGUAGGGAAUCUCCGGCAAUGGACGAAAGUCUGACCGAGCAACGCCGCGUGAGUGAAGAAGGUUUUCGGAUCGUAAAACUCUGUUGGUAGAGAAGAACGUUGGUGAGAGUGGAAAGCUCAUCAAGUGACGGUAACUACCCAGAAAGGGACGGCUAACUACGUG
This 497-nucleotide ribosomal RNA is filed under the name uncultured bacterium. RNAcentral's name for it is "partial 16S ribosomal RNA". It matches the Rfam family "Bacterial small subunit ribosomal RNA", at positions 28 to 507 of the family's 1533-position model. The record is from RNAcentral.